RNAcentral lists this ribosomal RNA (465 nucleotides) under uncultured bacterium. RNAcentral describes it as "partial 16S ribosomal RNA". It matches the Rfam family "Bacterial small subunit ribosomal RNA", at positions 28 to 507 of the family's 1533-position model. The record is from RNAcentral.
GACGAACGCUGGCGGCGUGCUUAACACAUGCAAGUCGAACGGAAAGGCCCCUUCGGGGGUACUCGAGUGGCGAACAGGUGAGUAACACGUGAGUAACCUGCCCUUGACUUCGGGAUAACUUCAGGAAACUGGGGCUAAUACCGGAUAGGAAUCCUUGCUGCAUGGUGGGGGUUGGAAAGCUUCGGCGGUUUUGGAUGGACUCGCGGCUUAUCAGCUUGUUGGUGGGGUAGUGGCUUACCAAGGCUUUGACGGGUAGCCGGCCUGAGAGGGCGACCGGCCACAUUGGGACUGAGAUACGGCCCAGACUCCUACGGGAGGCAGCAGUGGGGAAGAUUGCACAAGGAGCGGAAGCCUGAUGCAGCAAGGCCGCGUGCGGGAUGACGGCCUUCGGGUUGUAAACCGCUUUCAGCAGGGGCGAAGCUUGUGGUGACGGUACCUGCAGAAGAAGCACCGGCUAACUACGUG